Ictidomys tridecemlineatus (thirteen-lined ground squirrel) is the source of this 1174-nucleotide non-coding RNA. The record is from RefSeq and is a predicted model, not a curated record. NCBI's taxonomy places the organism in Eukaryota, Metazoa, Chordata, Mammalia, Rodentia, Sciuridae.
GGCUGGCCUCACAGAAGGGCGGAAGGGAGGCCACCACCUGUUGCUGGGCAACUGUGACCCAACUCCUCCAGCCCCCAUGGAGUGUUGCCAAGGCAACCUGAGGGGAUGUGGUCACUGCGGCAAGAAGGCGUUUCCUGGUUUGUGCAGGAUGGAGAAUCAGAAUCCAGGUGUCCUGGCCACAGGCUCCUCCCACUCUACUAUGCAAGAAUUUCUGAAAAAAGGAAUCAGGAUGUUACUCAAGGAGUAUGUGCAAUAGAGAAGUCUCUGCAUCAGAGGCCUAGAAAAUAGGCACUUGCAGAUGAGGAAAUUUUUAUUUGCAGCUCUUAGUCCAUUGUUGGCUGACUUCAUUGCUCUGGGCUGGAAGUGAGGCAGAUCAUGAUGGAAGUUGUGAAGGAGAAAAUCAGCUCAGGAUAUGGCAACAAGGAAGCAGGGAGUCUUCAUGCUGAUAUCUAAUGGACAGGAUGCAGCAGAAGUGACACGGCAUGACUUCUGAGACUAAUUAAAAUUUUUAAAAAAAGGAUAGAGCUGCCACCUGGUACUCCCACUCCACUCACCCUUGGAACUCAGCCACCAUGUUGUGAGGAAGCCCAAGACACAUGUAGGUGCCUUGGCUAAAGUCUCAGCUAGGGUCCCAAUCAAUAGCCAACAUCCACUACCAAACAUGUAAAUGGGCAAGUCUUCAGAUGACUCUAGCCCCAGGAUUUGAGCCACCUCAGCUGAUAUCAAGCAAAGCAGAGAUGAGCUACCUGCCUGGAGCCCUGCCCAAAACACAGACUGAGGAAAAGAAAUAUUGCUAUCUUAGGGAAUUAUGUUUUGGGGUGGUUUAUGACAUAGAAAUAGAUAACUGGCGCACUUGACUUCAAGGGUUCUCACCAGGUGGGUUAAGGGCAGUAGUCCUCUAUCACAUGUGAGAUCUUCUCAAGGGUUCACACUUAAUUCCAAUGUCCCACCACCCUGUCUUGCUAGAUUCUUACACCACUUUAGGGUAUGAAUUGGGUAGGCUGGGGAGAAAUAUAACAGCAACAACAGUGGAGUUGGUUCAGAAAUUUUGUAGAAGAUUCAAAAAUGCCCUCUCCAUAAUUAAGGUCCACUAGAUCUGCUCAGUCUAAUACAGGGGCCAUCAGACACAUGUGGUUCUUUAAAUUAAAAUUUAUUAAAGUAAAAUAAAAAUUGA